This 450-nucleotide ribosomal RNA is filed under the name uncultured bacterium. RNAcentral's name for it is "bacterial SSU rRNA". It matches the Rfam family "Bacterial small subunit ribosomal RNA", at positions 917 to 1345 of the family's 1533-position model. The record is from RNAcentral.
GGGCCAACACAAGUGGUGGAGCAUGUUGUUUAAUGCGAAAAUACGCGCGAAAUCUUACCAGUUCUUGACAGUGUGUUAAGUGACAAAAAGGUAAUUUUUUUGUCCUCUUUAUAGUAAGAAUUAUCACACACAGGUGUUGCAUGGCUGUCGUCAGCUCGUGUUGUGAAAUGUUAGAUUAAUUUCUUAAACGAGCGUAACCCCUACUUUUAGUUGCUAAUGUUUGUUGGUCCAAACAAGAACUCUAAAAGAACUGCUAGUGGAUAAGCUAGAGGAAGGUGGGGAUAACGUCAAGUCCUCAUGGCCCUUAUGAACUGGGCUACAAACGUGCUACAAUGAAAACUACAAAAAGAAGCAAUAGUGUAUUAAGCUGGAGCAAAUCUCCAAAAGUUUUCUUAGUUCGGAUUGUGGGCUGAAACUCGCCCACAUGAAGUUGGAAUCACUAGUAAUCGU